This 460-nucleotide ribosomal RNA is filed under the name uncultured bacterium. Its description in RNAcentral is "partial 16S ribosomal RNA". It matches the Rfam family "Bacterial small subunit ribosomal RNA", at positions 338 to 795 of the family's 1533-position model. The record is from RNAcentral.
GCUACGGGAGGCAGCAGUGAGGAAUAUUGGUCAAUGGACGAGAGUCUGAACCAGCCAAGUAGCGUGAAGGAUGACUGCCAUAUGGGUUGUAAACUUCUUUUAUAAAGGAAUAAAACGAGGCACGUGUGCCUUUUUGCAUGUACUUUAUGAAUAAGGAUCGGCUAACUCCGUGCCAGCAGCCGCGGUAAUACGGAGGAUCCGAGCGUUAUCCGGAUUUAUUGGGUUUAAAGGGAGCGUAGAUGGGUUGUUAAGUCAGUUGUGAAAGUUUGCGGCUAAACCGUAAAAUUGCAAUUGAUACUGGCAGUCUUGAGUACAGUUGAGGUAGGCGGAAUUCGUGGUGUAGCGGUGAAAUGCUCAGAUAUCACGAAGAACCCCGAUUGCGAAGGCAGCUUACUAAACUGUGACUGACAUUGAUGCUCGAAAGUGUGGGUAUCAAACAGGAUUAGAUACCCUAGUAGUC